CUUAUUCAAACCCCCCAUGGGGGUGGGGCGUUCUGGAGAGCAUCCUCCGUAUUCAUCGUUACUUACAACAGGAUUUGCCUAUGAAUUUUCUUUCUGAUUGUUCCUCCUUUUAGUGACCAAGAGAGAACAAUAGGACUCAUCCACUUGGGCAAGGGAAGGAAGGGAGACAGGAAGAGCAAACGCUACCAGCAUCAGACACCUGUGCCGAGAUAACAAAAGGUCCGAGGAGUCCCAGAAGGAGACAAAAAAAAUAGCGUUGAAAGAAUAUUGGCAGAAACAUUGGCAGAACAUUCAGAAAUGUGGCUAAAUGCAGAAACCAACAGAUUGAACAAGCUUCAAAAACCCCAACCGGAAUACAUCUCGCAAUUCCCCUAGAUCUUCCUGGAUAAUCCGAGAUAAAGUCCCCGUGACAGCUAAUCUCGGUUGUCGACUUGAUACAUUGGGAGGAAGGAGCCUUGAGUGAAGGAUGCUGCUCUCAGAUUGGCCCCUGGACACAUCUGUGGGGGCAUUUCCUUUAUUGUUAAUCGACAUGGGUGAGUUCAGCGCACUGAGCCGGGUGGAUGGGCUUGGGCUACAUAGGAAAGACAGACAGCCAGUGAAGAGCGUGGCUUUAUGUUUUCUGCUUCAAGCUGCUGCCUUAACUUCCUGCAUUGGCCUCUCUCAAUGAUGGAUUGUAACUAUACAGAUGAAAUAAAUGCUUUCUCCUU
RNAcentral lists this long non-coding RNA (707 nucleotides) under Mus caroli (Ryukyu mouse). Its description in RNAcentral is "RIKEN cDNA 1700112K13 gene (MGP_CAROLIEiJ_G0005922.1)". The record is from RNAcentral. Lineage: Eukaryota; Metazoa; Chordata; Mammalia; Rodentia; Muridae.